AUGAGGGCUCCUGUUCAUCUCCUGGGGCUGCUGCUGCUCUGGAUCUCAAGUACCAGAUGUGAUAUCCUGAUGACCCAGCUACCAUCUCAGACUGUAUCCCUAAAAGACCCAGUCACCAUCACGUGUCAAGCUAGUCAGAGCAUUGGCAGUGCAUUAGCCUGGUAUCAGCAAAAACCAGGGAAAUCUCCAAACCUCCUGAUCUAUUAUGCAAAAGGUUUGGUAGACGGAGUCCCAUCGAGGUUCAGUGGCAGUGGGACUGGGACAGAUUUUACCCUCACCAUCAGCAGUUUGGAGCCAGAAGAUAUUGCAACUUAUUACUGCCAACAGCACAACAAUAACCCACCCACAGUGGAACAAGUAUUAACAUAA
Molecule: non-coding RNA, 369 nt
Organism: Cricetulus griseus (Chinese hamster)
Lineage: Eukaryota; Metazoa; Chordata; Mammalia; Rodentia; Cricetidae
Source: the annotation of a RefSeq genome assembly